UUUUUUAUAUAUAUAGCCUCUUUGGGUACUUAUAAUGUAGAAUAAUGAGAAAGAUUUCUCGAACUCAAAUUUUGUGAACCAGGGGGGUGUGUCUUUUCCAACAAACUAAAAAUGGCUCGCGCACAAAAUUUAAAAGCUGCAAUCAUAUUUUGAGUUAACAGAUGGAAAAUUUGUCGGGAUUUUAAUUACUGUACAAAAUUUCAGACAAUUUGGUUUAGUUUAAGCCCCUUAACUAUUCACGCAAAGUUACAAUUUUCCCGAAAAAUCAGCUAUUUGCAUGCUUAAUUAAUGCAUUUGCCUAAUUUGCAUAUGUCAGCAAUAUGCAAAUUAGGUAAAGGCAUUAAUUAAGCAUGCGAAAGGCUGACUUUUUAGAACAAAAUGAAUAGUUAAAGGGCUUAAACUAAACCAAAUUGUCUGAAAUUUUGUACAGUAAUUAAAAACCCGACAAAUUUUCAAUCUGUUAACUCAAAAUAUGAUUACAGCUUUUAAAUUUUGUGCGCGAGCCAUUUUUAGUUUGUUGGAAAAGACACACCCCC
This is a non-coding RNA of Paramuricea clavata, 536 nucleotides long. Lineage: Eukaryota; Metazoa; Cnidaria; Anthozoa; Malacalcyonacea; Plexauridae. The record is from the annotation of a GenBank genome assembly.